This 252-nucleotide ribosomal RNA is filed under the name uncultured bacterium. RNAcentral's name for it is "partial 16S ribosomal RNA". It matches the Rfam family "Bacterial small subunit ribosomal RNA", at positions 524 to 776 of the family's 1533-position model. The record is from RNAcentral.
UACGUAGGGUGCAAGCGUUGUCCGGAAUUAUUGGGCGUAAAGAGCUUGUAGGCGGUUUGUCGCGUCUGCUGUGAAAUUUCGGGGCUCAACCCCGAACUUGCAGUGGGUACGGGCAGACUAGAGUGUGGUAGGGGAGACUGGAAUUCCUGGUGUAGCGGUGAAAUGCGCAGAUAUCAGGAGGAACACCGAUGGCGAAGGCAGGUCUCUGGGCCAUAACUGACGCUGAGAAGCGAAAGCAUGGGAGCGAACAGG